UGCCAGACUCCUACGGGAGGCAGCAGUCGGGAAUAUUGCGCAAUGGAGGAAACUCUGACGCAGUGACGCCGCGUAUAGGAAGAAGGUUUUCGGAUUGUAAACUAUUGUCGUUAGGGAAGAUACAAGACAGUACCUAAGGAGGAAGCCACGGCUAACUACGUGCCAGCAGCCGCGGUAAUACGUAGGUGGCAAGCGUUAUCCGGAUUUAUUGGGUGUAAAGGGCGUGUAGGCGGGAGCGCAAGUCAGAUGUGAAAUCUCAUGGCUCAACCCUGAGCCUGCAUUUGAAACUGUGUUUCUUGAGUGCUGGAGAGGCAAUCGGAAUUCCGUGUGUAGCGGUGAAAUGCGUAGAUAUACGGAGGAACACCAGUGGCGAAGGCGGAUUGCUGGACAGUAACUGGCGCUGAGGCGCGAAAGCGUGGGGAUCAAACAGGAUUAGAUACCCUUGUAA
This 448-nucleotide ribosomal RNA is filed under the name uncultured bacterium. Its description in RNAcentral is "bacterial SSU rRNA". It matches the Rfam family "Bacterial small subunit ribosomal RNA", at positions 329 to 793 of the family's 1533-position model. The record is from RNAcentral.